Molecule: ribosomal RNA, 455 nt
Filed under: uncultured bacterium
Lineage: Bacteria
Description: bacterial SSU rRNA
Rfam family: Bacterial small subunit ribosomal RNA
Source: RNAcentral
AGCGAACGCUGGCGGCAGGCUUAACACAUGCAAGUCGAACGGGCGUAGCAAUACGUCAGUGGCAGACGGGUGAGUAACGCGUGGGAACGUACCUUUUGGUUCGGAACAACCCAGGGAAACUUGGGCUAAUACCGGAUAAGCCCUUACGGGGAAAGAUUUAUCGCCGAAAGAUCGGCCCGCGUCUGAUUAGCUAGUUGGUGUGGUAACGGCGCACCAAGGCGACGAUCAGUAGCUGGUCUGAGAGGAUGAUCAGCCACAUUGGGACUGAGACACGGCCCAAACUCCUACGGGAGGCAGCAGUGGGGAAUAUUGGACAAUGGGCGCAAGCCUGAUCCAGCCAUGCCGCGUGAGUGAGGAAGGCCUUAGGGUUGUAAAGCUCUUUCACCCGCGACGAUAAUGACGGUAGCGGGAGAAGAAGCCCCGGCUAACUUCGUGCCAGCAGCCGCCGCCGUAAG